Molecule: ribosomal RNA, 497 nt
Filed under: uncultured bacterium
Lineage: Bacteria
Description: partial 16S ribosomal RNA
Rfam family: Bacterial small subunit ribosomal RNA
Source: RNAcentral
GAUGAACGCUGGCGGCGUGCCUAAUACAUGCAAGUCGAGCGAACGGACGAGAAGCUGGCUUGUCUGAUGUUAGCGGCGGACGGGUGAGUAACACGUGGAUAACCUACCUAUAAGACUGGGAUAACUUCGGGAAACCGGAGCUAAUACCGGAUAAUAUUUUGAACCGCAUGGUUCAAAAGAGAAAGACGGUCUUGCUGUCACUUAUAGAUGGAUCCGCGCUGCAUUAGCUAGUUGGUAAGGUAACGGCUUACCAAGGCAACGAUGCAUAGCCGACCUGAGAGGGUGAUCGGCCACACUGGAACUGAGACACGGUCCAGACUCCUACGGGAGGCAGCAGUAGGGAAUCUUCCGCAAUGGGCGAAAGCCUGACGGAGCAACGCCGCGUGAGUGAUGAAGGUCUUCGGAUCGUAAAACUCUGUUAUUAGGGAAGAACAUAUGUGUAAGUAACUGUGCACAUCUUGACGGUACCUAAUAAGAAAGCCACGGCUAACUACGUG